ACGGAAGGCAGCAGUGGGGAAUAUUGCACAAUGGGGGAAACCCUGAUGCAGCGACGCCGCGUGAGUGAAGAAGUUAUUCGUAAUGUAAAGCUCUAUCAGCAGGGAAGAAAAUGACGGUACCUGACUAAGAAGCCCCGGCUAACUACGUGCCAGCAGCCGCGGUAGUACGUAGGGGGCAAGCGUUAUCCGGAUUUACUGGGUGUAAAGGGAGCGUAGACGGUCUAGCAAGUCUGAUGUGAAAGGCAGGGGCUCAACUCCUGGACUGCAUUGGAAACUGUUAGUCUUGAGUGUCGGAGAGGUAAGCGGAAUUCCUAGUGUAGCGGUGAAAUGCGUAGAUAUUAGGAGGAACACCAGUGGCGAAGGCGGCUUACUGGACGAUAACUGACGUUGAGGCUCGAAAGCGUGGGGAGCAAACAGGAUUAGAUACCCUGGUA
This 434-nucleotide ribosomal RNA is filed under the name uncultured Lachnospiraceae bacterium. RNAcentral's name for it is "partial 16S ribosomal RNA". It matches the Rfam family "Bacterial small subunit ribosomal RNA", at positions 341 to 792 of the family's 1533-position model. Lineage: Bacteria; Bacillati; Bacillota; Clostridia; Lachnospirales; Lachnospiraceae. The record is from RNAcentral.